Oncorhynchus keta (chum salmon) is the source of this 239-nucleotide long non-coding RNA. RefSeq lists it as uncharacterized. The record is from RefSeq and is a predicted model, not a curated record. The transcript has 3 exons. NCBI's taxonomy places the organism in Eukaryota, Metazoa, Chordata, Actinopteri, Salmoniformes, Salmonidae.
UCCAGGGUCGGUCUGGGAUACAGUGAGGUAACAUAUGGCUCUUUGGUGUUUGAGGGGUGUCGUUCACGACCUGCCAGGGUCGGUCUGGGAUACAGUGAGGUAACAUAUGGCUCUUUGGUGUUUGAGGGGUGUCGUUCACGACCUGCCAGGGUCGGUCUGGGAUACAGUGAGGUAACAUAUGGCUCUUUGGUGUUUGAGGGGUGUCGUUCACGACCUGCCAGGGUCGGUCUGGGAUACAG